RNAcentral lists this long non-coding RNA (4110 nucleotides) under Anas platyrhynchos platyrhynchos (common mallard). RNAcentral's name for it is "lncRNA (ENSAPLG00000019134.1)". The record is from RNAcentral. Lineage: Eukaryota; Metazoa; Chordata; Aves; Anseriformes; Anatidae.
AGGAGGGGGAACAAGGAGGCUGAGCAUCACCCGCACCCAACAUUUUAUCACAUUUUUUUCUGAUUUCCAAAUUCAGCAGACGUUGGCUGCAGCUCUUGGAGUCACAAGCGCGAGGAACGUCACCGCUGUCCCCUUAACGUGGCACUGGUGAGACCGCAGCUCCCGCCAGCACCCCGAAAGGAGGAUGCGGGGAGGGAGGUGCCCGGCAUUUCUCGGUGACAGCACGUGAGGGAACAGGCUCGAGUUGCCCAGGGCAUGGCUACGUUGGGUUUGGGGCAGGAUUUCUGCAUGGAGAGGGUGGCCAACGGGAGCGUGGGUUGGUGCACCCAGUGUGCCGGGCUCUGGUUCACCUUCUUGUCACAGAAUCCUGACCUGGUUGGGGCUGGAGGCCCCCUCAGGGUCCCUCUGGUCCCAGGGGUGCUCCAGCAGCCCCCAGAGCUGCCCUUGUUCCUACAAUUUAGGAGAAAUUCAGAGAGUUUAAAACGAAAAAUGAUUUAUUUGUGAGUGUGUUUCUGUCACCGGUACUCCUGACAAGGUGUUGUGUGUUAAUUAGCGUGGCAAGCUUUACAUUUUCAGGUUGACUUUUAAUAAAUAAAUAGAUAAAUAAAUAAAUAAAUAGUAAUAAAUAGUAAUAAAUAGUAAUAGUAAUAGUAAUAGUAAUAGUAAUAGUAAUAGUAACAAGAAGAAGAAGAAGAAGAAGAAGAAGAAGAAGAAGAAGAAGAAGAAGAAGAAGAAGAAGAAGAAGGAGUUGGAAAUUCUCUUUAAAGAAUACCCAACUUGUUAAAGACCUGUUUUUUGUGUUUUUUGUUUUUUGUUUUUUUCCUUCUGGCUGCACAAACCCGACACUUUACCCAGUCACUUCUAUUUCCCCAUGAACCUUAUUUCUCAAGGCGCGCACAGAUUCUCAGCUUUGGUUUCCUAUCCAGGAACACCGUCUAUGAAGCGCUCCUGCUCUCCCUGCUGUGAGGAUCAGGGCAGUUUGUUCCGCAGCAGGUCAAACUCCACAACUGGAGAAUUAAAACAAAACCUCCUGGAGAGGAAUUUGGAGAAUCUCGUGAUUCCCAUUCACGUUUUUGGCCAUUCCUUACCUGAGUCUUUUUACAGUGUCCCCUCUGCUGGCUUCCCACCACAAAUUUCCCGUGCUCCUAGCAGUUACCACACUAGAGGAUUCCCAUAUUUCCACCCCACUUCAUUCAUGAGCACAUUCAUUAUGCAAAUAAUUUAUCUAUGGUGCUAAGCAAGACGUUGCUGCAUGGUAACACAAGACACCUGAAGAGAUGCACAGUCCAGUAAAAAUGCACCUGCAGAAGGGCAUCACAGCACCCCGGUGCCAAAUAUCUCAAAAACAGGGUCCUGCUUUGCUCCACCGUGAAUUUAAUUAAAAACAUUCCGAGUCCUUUUGCACUGGGCAAAAAUCUUUAAUGUUUUCAGUGCCUUUUGUCUACAAAGGUUGAAACCGCAAUCCUUAAAUACAUCAUCAGAAAUUAUUUUAAUACAGAAUUUGAAAAUAAUUAUAUCAGAAAUAAUAUCAGGAAUUACUAUAAACUUCAAAAAUAGUUAACAGCAACAUGUUGAGCAAUUCUAGCACACAAUUUAAUCAUUACAGGUGUAAGCCUGGUCUCAAUCAAGGCAAGAUUCUCACCAGCAUCAGUGGAGCCAGCAGCACUGGAAACACUGGGAACAAACCCAAUAGAAGUUAUGUUGUAAAAGUCAGCAUUUUGGGCAAGCGAGAUUUUACAGACCGUCACUAUUUUGGGUCGCCCCACUGGCUGCGUGGCUUUCCACCUCUAACUCCUUUUAAUGUCUCCACUUAAACCUCUAAGCAAGGUGAUUAUUUUCACUCCAACACACAAAAAUCUCCGAUGUAAGCGACCGUCUGUGCCUGGUCUUCCCCUGGGACGGCUGCUCCUCAGCCCCACGCUUGCAGCACAGGGGUAGGAAGGUCUUGCACGGAGGAUUUACGUUCAGCAGCUCCUGAACAACCAGCCGUAGGAGUGUGAUGUGCCAAAUUCAGCCCUGCUGUUCCAGGUGCUCUUUGUUUCGCAGAAGGAAGGAGUUCUGCUGAAAUGGUGCUUUACAGGAGGGGAAGAAUCAAAGAAUCCCCAUUCAGGAGCAUCCAGCACGCCGGCAGCUACCAAGGCAUCGCGUUGCGUGGGAGAAGGAUAAAAGAAAUGCUGUCCCCAGGGUAAGUUUUAAGAAGAAAAUAAGGAGAAGUGAGUGAUAAAAGAGUUUUCUGGAAGCUGCUCCUGCUUUGGGGAUGGGCAGGGAUCCCUCGGGGCCAUGAGUACUCCCUUAAUCUCCUUCAGGAUUUACCAAGCUCCAUCCCAGCCCCAGUUGUUUCCUGGUCCUCGAGGGAAGCCAAGGACGUAACUUCAUUCAUGGCUUCAGUGCAGAACACAGCACCUUCACUGCCACCGUUACUGUCCCAUCAGUGUUUUUGUGUUUUUUUUUUGUGUGUGUGUGUGUUACACCAGACCUUUACACUUUAACCUGAGCUCCCAAGCUCCCAGAAGCUCCAUUUUCUGCUCACAACUCUGCAGACAAUCCUGUUCUGAUCAUAUCUUGGUCUUCUCGAACAUGAAAACCCCCAGCAAUUUUCCGCUUAAAUUUUCUGCCUAAAUUGUUCUGCCUAAAUUUUCUGCUUAAACACAGCCAUUUUUCUAGCACAGGCUGCUUUGUGCAUCCGAACGUUCCUUUAAUAAUGCUUUCGGUACAGUCAACGCUGCUGUGUGUUAACUCCCCCUCCCAGACAUGAAUCAUCCAGCCACCAAUUCAAAUCAGCUCCUAAUCAAUGCCCCUUCGGCUGGCACCAACCCUGCCAUGCUUGGGUUUGAUUCGGUUUAAUGAAACUGCCUCAUCCUAAACCUUCCCCUGUAAUUGAUACGGGACUAGAACCAUCACCUCUGGUGGGUUAUUUGCUAACAAUGGAAAAUCCAUCCCAGGGAAGCUUUGGGCACAGUAGUUACAGGUCCACGUUGUGAGUUUGCAAGUGAUUUGUGUGCCUGGGUUUCUCUGCAAAACUUUUUUUACUCGCUGUCCACUUGUAAGGCCUCUGUCCCAUCUGAGUUCUCUGGUGUCAGAUCAGAUCUGCGCGGCGACCAAAGCUUUUCCUGCAGUCUGUGCGUACGUAUGACCAUACCUGAUUCCUUCUGGUGUGAAUCUGCUUUUGUUUUAGCAGUCCUGUUUUCAGUUUAGAGGAUUUCUGACAUGCUGCACACACACACACAGCCUCUCUCCCAUCUGGGUUUCCUGGUAAAGAAGGAUCUCUUGGAAUUCGUCAGGCUCUCCUCUCCCAGGAGGGCUGUUACCUCUUCUGCUUCCUGUUGUUCCAUUUGCCUGACCUGCUCCCGAAUUGCGAUGGCUCUCAGAUGUUACCCCUGAUGUUGUCUGAAACUUGGACGUGGAGUCCUGGGAUCCUCCUGAACACGAUCCAAACAGCUCCGUAUUUCCUGAGCCCUGAGCUUGAUCCCAGCAGCACUACAGCCUGGAACAAAAAGAUUCCAAACUUUACCUGAUGUGACCUAAUAUAAACUUCCAAAGAACAAAACCUUAUUUUUUGUGAGUUCUGUAUAAACAGAACAAGUUUGGGAACAAAAAGCAGGGACGUAUUAGAACCCCAAUCCCUCUGAUCCUAGAAGCCCGUGUUUAUUAUGCUGUGGGUUUAAUUUUUGGCUGGUCUGAGGCCAUCACACACCUGUGCUGAGACCUGCAGGAAUUUCUCUUUCCUCAGAAUCCCGCUGCUCCUUGACACGCGGCACUUCCCUCGGCCGGAUAUCGAUGUUGGGAACAGGACAGUCUGCACAGGGAACACGGGGAAACAAUAACCACCAUUUCCAUGUUCUGACACCUCCCCCAAAUCCCCCAAAUUACAGAGGUAUUGCCUAACCUACUUUAAUUCCCAACGUAAUAAGUUGCACAAAGACCAGUGCUGAGGAUGGCUUCGUGUCAGGCUAUUCGCUUCCAGUCUCCAAGCCUUGUACUUUCUCUCUGCCCUUUUUUUGUAGCAUGACUCAUUUUCAUUCAUUUACACGAAAAAUAGUGCGAAAAAUUGUGCAAGUGUAAUUCAUAGUUAAUAGGAAUAAAAAUGAUUCAUGUCACUGCUUUCCCCCA